UACGAAGGUGGCUAGCGUUGAUCGGUAUCACUGGGCUUAAAGAGUGCGUAGGCGGAAGAGAAAGCGUUUUGUGAAAGUCCUCGGCUUAACCGAGGAACUGCAGAGCGAACUGCUUUUCUUGAGGCAAGUAAGGGUGCACGGAACUCUUGGUGGAGCGGUGGAAUGCGUAGAUAUCAAGAGGAACGCCGGUGGUGAAGACGGUGCACUGGGCUUGUCCUGACGCUGAGGCACGAAAGCGUGGGGAGCAAACGGGAUUAGAUACCCCUGUA
RNAcentral lists this ribosomal RNA (269 nucleotides) under uncultured prokaryote. RNAcentral's name for it is "partial 16S ribosomal RNA". It matches the Rfam family "Bacterial small subunit ribosomal RNA", at positions 524 to 792 of the family's 1533-position model. The record is from RNAcentral.